RNAcentral lists this transfer RNA (58 nucleotides) under Adelanthus lindenbergianus. RNAcentral describes it as "partial tRNA-Leu". RNAcentral also lists the same sequence under 6 other names. Lineage: Eukaryota; Viridiplantae; Streptophyta; Jungermanniopsida; Jungermanniales; Adelanthaceae. The record is from RNAcentral.
UACGGACUAAAAUCCGUUGGCUUUUUAGACCGUGAGGGUUCAAGUCCCUCUACCCCCA